Molecule: ribosomal RNA, 460 nt
Filed under: uncultured bacterium
Lineage: Bacteria
Description: partial 16S ribosomal RNA
Rfam family: Bacterial small subunit ribosomal RNA
Source: RNAcentral
CCUACGGGUGACAGCAGUGAGGAAUAUUGGUCAAUGGACGAGAGUCUGAACCAGCCAAGUAGCGUGAAGGAUGAUUGCCCUAUGGGUUGUAAACUUCUUUUAUAUGGGAAUAAAACGUUCCACGUGUGGGAUUUUGUAUGUACCAUAUGAAUAAGGAUCGGCUAACUCCGUGCCAGCAGCCGCGGUAAUACGGAGGAUCCGAGCGUUAUCCGGAUUUAUUGGGUUUAAAGGGAGCGUAGGUGGAUUGUUAAGUCAGUUGUGAAAGUUUGCGGCUCAACCGUAAAAUUGCAGUUGAAACUGGCAGUCUUGAGUACAGUAGAGGUGGGCGGAAUUCGUGGUGUAGCGGUGAAAUGCUUAGAUAUCACGAAGAACUCCGAUUGCGAAGGCAGUUCACUGGACUGCAACUGACACUGAGGCUCGAAAGUGUGGGUAUCAAACAGGAUUAGAUACCCGAGUAGUC